UGGGGAAUAUUGCACAAUGGGGGAAACCCUGAUGCAGCGACGCCGCGUGAACGAAGAAGGUAUUCGUAUCGUAAAGUUCUGUCCUAUGGGAAGAUAAUGACAGUACCAUAGAAGAAAGCUCCGGCUAAAUACGUGCCAGCAGCCGCGGUAAUACGUAUGGAGCGAGCGUUGUCCGGAAUUAUUGGGCGUAAAGGGUACGCAGGCGGUUUAAUAAGUCGAAUGUUAAAGAUCGGGGCUCAACCCCGCAAAGCAUUGGAAACUGAUAAACUUGAGUAGUGGAGAGGAAAGUGGAAUUCCUAGUGUAAUGGUGAAAUACGUGGAUAUUAGGAGGAAUACCAGUAGCGAAGGAGACUUUCUGGACACAAACUGACGCUGAGGUACGAAAGCGUGGGGAGCAAACAGG
This 403-nucleotide ribosomal RNA is filed under the name bacterium. RNAcentral describes it as "partial 16S ribosomal RNA". It matches the Rfam family "Bacterial small subunit ribosomal RNA", at positions 355 to 776 of the family's 1533-position model. The record is from RNAcentral.